This is a non-coding RNA of Xyrichtys novacula (pearly razorfish), 202 nucleotides long. The record is from the annotation of a GenBank genome assembly. Lineage: Eukaryota; Metazoa; Chordata; Actinopteri; Labriformes; Labridae.
ACUGUUUCUCAUCUCAGGAUGUCUUCCUGAUGAUUGUCAUGAUGAAAUCCCUUCUCAGUAAAAACGGUCACCUGGACCUGUUCGUUCGCUUCCUUCAUGGACUCUCUCUGGAGUCAAACCAGAGACUCUUAGGAGGUCUGCUGGGUCACACAGACAACAGUCCAGGAAUGAUCCAAAGAGUCAUCAAGAACCUGAAGUGGAU